Molecule: unclassified non-coding RNA, 657 nt
Filed under: Hevea brasiliensis (rubber tree)
Lineage: Eukaryota; Viridiplantae; Streptophyta; Magnoliopsida; Malpighiales; Euphorbiaceae
Source: RNAcentral
GAGAAAUUAAGCUUAAAUUAAAAACAUUUAACCCUCAGCAGUAUCCAACAAUUUUAAUGUCUCAAAAUGACUCAGAAACAACAAAGCAAAAUUAAGACAAAAAAACACAAAACCAGACAAGUAAACUAAAUAAUUAAGAACUACUAAGAGCACCAAAAACCAAAAGUCUCAUAUUUAGCAUAUUAAAACCAUUCUUCUCAAUGACACAAAAUGCAGGCUCGGGGUUGGUUGGCUUAUUUCUUCUUGACAGCGGAUUUGGUGACCUUGGCUCCUGUUGGGUCCUUCUUCUCCACACUCUUGAUCACACCAACUGCAACGGUUUGACGCAUAUCACGAACAGCAAAACGACCCAAUGGUGGGUAUGAGGAGAAUGUCUCCACAACCAUUGGCUUGGUCGGAACCAUCUUAACCAUACCGGCAUCACCGUUCUUCAAGAAUUUGGGCUCCUUUUCGAGUUCCUUACCAGAUCGACGAUCAAUCUUGGUGAGGAUCUCAGCAAACUUAACAGCAAUGUGGGAGGUGUGGCAAUCAAGGACUGGGGCAUAACCGUUACCAAUCUGGCCAGGGUGGUUCAUGAUGAUAACCUGGGAAGUGAAGUUGGCCGCCUCCUUGGCAGGGUCAUCCUUGGAGUUCGAGGCAACAAACCCACGCUUAAGA